Molecule: ribosomal RNA, 293 nt
Filed under: Limonius canus
Lineage: Eukaryota; Metazoa; Arthropoda; Insecta; Coleoptera; Elateridae
Description: partial large subunit ribosomal RNA
Source: RNAcentral
ACUGUCUCUAAAGGAUUUGUUAUUAAAAUUAACUUUUAAGUUAAAAGGCUUAAAUUUUACUUAAAGACGAGAAGACCCUAUAGAGUUUUAUAGCUUAGUUGUGAAGGGUUAUUGGUUAUUUUAUUUCUUUACAAUGAAGGUUAUUUGGUUGGGGUGACUUAAAGAUUUAAUAAACUCUUUAAAUUUGAAGUUAUUGAUUUGUAAAUGAAUAAUCUAAUUUUUUUAAAAUUAAAAUAAAUUACCUUAGGGAUAACAGCGUAAUUUUUCUUUAGAGUUCUUAUUGAAAGGAAAGU